UACGUAGGGGGCAAGCGUUGUCCGGAAUCAUUGGGCGUAAAGCGCGUGUAGGCGGCCCGGUAAGUCCGCUGUGAAAGUCGGGGGCUCAACCCUCGAAUGCCGGUGGAUACUGUCGGGCUAGAGUGCGGAAGAGGCGAGUGGAAUUCCUGGUGUAGCGGUGAAAUGCGCAGAUAUCAGGAGGAACACCAAUUGCGAAAGCAGCUCUCUGGGACGGUACUGACGCUGAGACGCGAAAGCGUGGGGAGCGAACAGG
This 253-nucleotide ribosomal RNA is filed under the name uncultured bacterium. RNAcentral describes it as "partial 16S ribosomal RNA". It matches the Rfam family "Bacterial small subunit ribosomal RNA", at positions 524 to 776 of the family's 1533-position model. The record is from RNAcentral.